GACGAACGCUGGCGGCGUGCCUAAUACAUGCAAGUCGAGCGGACUGAUUAAGAGCUUGCUCUUAUGACGUUAGCGGCGGACGGGUGAGUAACACGUGGGCAACCUGCCCUGUAGAUCGGGAUAACACCGAGAAAUCGGUGCUAAUACCGGGUAAUAUCUGAGAUCACAUGAUCUUAGGUUAAAAGAUGGUUUCGGCUAUCACUACAGGUUGGGCCCGCGGCGCAUUCGCUAGUUGGUAAGGUAAUGGCUUACCAAGGCGACGAUGCGUAGCCGUCCUGAGAGGGGGAUCGGCCACACUGGGGCUGAGACACGGCCCAGACACCUCCGGGGGGGAGCAGUAGGGGAUCUUCCGCAAAGGGGGAGAGUCUGACGGGGCAACGCCGCGUGAGUGAGGAAAGGUUUCGGCUCGUAAAGCUCUGUUGUUAGGGGAAAAACAGUACCGAACGAACUAGGUCGGUACCUUGACGGUACCUAACCAGAAAGCCACGGCUAACUACGUG
RNAcentral lists this ribosomal RNA (500 nucleotides) under uncultured bacterium. Its description in RNAcentral is "partial 16S ribosomal RNA". It matches the Rfam family "Bacterial small subunit ribosomal RNA", at positions 28 to 507 of the family's 1533-position model. The record is from RNAcentral.